This 253-nucleotide ribosomal RNA is filed under the name uncultured bacterium. Its description in RNAcentral is "partial 16S ribosomal RNA". It matches the Rfam family "Bacterial small subunit ribosomal RNA", at positions 524 to 776 of the family's 1533-position model. The record is from RNAcentral.
UACGGGGGGGGCAAGCGUUGUUCGGAAUUACUGGGCGUAAAGGGCGCGUAGGCGGCCUUCUAAGUCGAACGUGAAAUCCCCGGGCUCAACCCGGGAACUGCGUCCGAUACUGGAAGGCUUGAAUCCGGGAGAGGGAUGUGGAAUUCCAGGUGUAGCGGUGAAAUGCGUAGAUAUCUGGAGGAACGCCGGUGGCGAAGGCGACAUCCUGGACCGGUAUUGACGCUGAGGCGCGAAAGCCAGGGGAGCAAACGGG